AGAUUAGUCCCUUAGAAUUCCAAAGGGUUGCCUGCUAUUAACCGUAGCUGAUAAUGUCACUUUCACAAAAUUUACCAUGGCUUUUUCCUUGGCACAAAGAAAUACGUUUUAACUUGCCUAGAAAUCCUACUUGUGAAGGGGAGGAAAGAGAAUAAUAGUUGGGUAUGUUUCAGGUGGAAGCCAAGCUAAUUGACAAACUGGAUAGCCUGAUGUCAGAAGGCAAAGGUGACGAAACAUACCGCGAGCUCUUCAACAGUAUUCUACUAAAGAAAAUUGAGCGGGAAACAUGGCGGGAAAGUGGCGUUUCAUUAAUUGCUACUGUAACUCGUCUAAUGGAGAGGUUGUUAGAUUACAGGGACUGCAUGAAAAUGGGAGAGGUAGAUGGCAAAAAGAUUGGCUGCACAGUUAGCCUUCUGAACUUCUAUAAGACUGAACUGAACAAGGAGGAGAUGUAUAUAC
Molecule: long non-coding RNA, 459 nt
Filed under: Homo sapiens (human)
Lineage: Eukaryota; Metazoa; Chordata; Mammalia; Primates; Hominidae
Description: non-protein coding lnc-IMMP2L-3:1
Source: RNAcentral